This 206-nucleotide ribosomal RNA is filed under the name uncultured bacterium. Its description in RNAcentral is "partial 16S ribosomal RNA". It matches the Rfam family "Bacterial small subunit ribosomal RNA", at positions 568 to 774 of the family's 1533-position model. The record is from RNAcentral.
CGCGUAGGCGGUCCCGCAAGCAGUGCGUGAAAUCCCACGGCUCAACCGUGGAAUUGCGCUCUGGACUGCGGUUCUAGAGUGCGGGAGGGGGUGCGGAACUCUAGGUGUAGCGGUGAAAUGCGUAGAUAUCUAGAGGAACACCGGUGGCGAAAGCGACACCCUGGCCCGCAACUGACGCUGAGGCGCGAAAGCGUGGGUAGCAAACA